GCAGGCCAAUCUUAUCGCCUUGAAUUUUCUUCAAGGAGGAAAGUCCGGACACCAUAGAGUAACAUAGCGGAUAACAUCCGUCCGACGAAAGUUGAGGACCAGUGCAACAGAAAGAAUGUACAGUUCGGCUGUAGUGAAAUCAGGUAAACUCUAUGUGGUGAAAUGCCAAGUAUAUUAGAGCUCCAUUAUGGAUAAGAGUUACUCGCUCGAUUCUAACGGGUAGGCAGAUGGAUCUUAAGAGUAAUUUUAAGACUAGAUAAAUGAUAAGACAUCUUUCAAAAGAUGACAGAAUUCGGCUUACUGGCCUGCUAUU
This 313-nucleotide RNase P RNA is filed under the name Flavobacteriaceae bacterium. RNAcentral's name for it is "RNase P RNA component class A". It matches the Rfam family "Bacterial RNase P class A". Rfam says of the family: Ribonuclease P (RNase P) is a ubiquitous endoribonuclease, found in archaea, bacteria and eukarya as well as chloroplasts and mitochondria. Its best characterised activity is the generation of mature 5'-ends of tRNAs by cleaving the 5'-leader elements of precursor-tRNAs. The record is from RNAcentral. Lineage: Bacteria; Pseudomonadati; Bacteroidota; Flavobacteriia; Flavobacteriales; Flavobacteriaceae.